GACGAACGCUGGCGGCGUGCCUAAUACAUGCAAGUUGAGCGCUGAAGUUUGGUACUUGUACCAACUGGAUGAGCAGCGGACGGGUGAGUAACGCGUGGGGAAUCUACCUUUGAGCGGGGGACAACAUUUGGAAACGAGUGCUAAUACCGCAUAAAAACUUUAAACACAAGUUUUAAGAGUGAAAGAUGCAAUUGCAUCACUCAAAGAUGAUCCCGCGUUGUAUUAGCUAGUUGGUGAGGUAAAGGCUCACCAAGGCGAUGAUACAUAACCGACCUGAGAGGGUGAUCGGCCAAAUUGGGACUGAGACACGGCCCAAACUCCUACGGGAGGCAGCAGUAGGGGAUCUUCGGCAAUGGACGAAAGUCUGACCGAGCAACGCCGCGUGAGUGAAGAAGGUUUUCGGAUCGUAAAAAUCUGUUGGUAGAGAAGAACGUUGGUGAGAGUGGAAAGCUCAUCAAGUGACGGUAACUACCCAGAAAGGGACGGCUAACUACGUG
This 497-nucleotide ribosomal RNA is filed under the name uncultured bacterium. RNAcentral's name for it is "partial 16S ribosomal RNA". It matches the Rfam family "Bacterial small subunit ribosomal RNA", at positions 28 to 507 of the family's 1533-position model. The record is from RNAcentral.